UCAAGGAAUUUCUUGGAUUUACAAUGAAUCUCGAGAUAUACACAUUUGAAUCUCUUUAUUUUUUACCGAAUUAUCGAUCUUUUCGAACUCUUCAGUGCAUGAAGAGUAAAAAAGUCAUUAUUUACAUGGAGGGAAAAUGGCAGCGAUGUCGUCGGGUAUGUGUGAUUUUGGUGAAGAUUGUGAAGAAACGGCGAUAUAUUAUUUGAACGGCUGUGUUAAAAAAACCUUUCACCACCUCAGAUAUUUGGACUCUUAACUCUAAGGGUAUAGAUCUGCCCGAAAGUUAUUUAAUUCUAUCCAGAGCAGGUAUCGAUGUAAUCACAUUAGCACAGCUAAACAAGAAAAUUUGCCAAAGAAUCAGAUACGCGCUUGGUCUGUACUGGAAACGGGGCGAGAGAUAUUGUGUACAUCCCUUUCAUGGUUUAUCUAAAACGAAACCAGACUGAGGCAUCACACCAGUUUUGAGCCGGGAAUUUGGGCGUCUACAGCUAUCAGUCCCAAUAGAUGAAGACAGAGUUGAGCAGCUGACCUAUUCAACCAUUGCCUCAAUACCUCCACUUAAUCUUAGAGAUUGCACUGAAGUCAACGAUGUUAACAACAAUGCUAAUCCUGCUGAAGAAACCUCAGGCAGCAGAACAGUUUGACAGUGUCCAAGCAAUAGCCAAUGAACCAGAAUAAAUGGCUGUG
This is a long non-coding RNA of Saccostrea cuccullata (small rock oyster), 687 nucleotides long. RefSeq lists it as uncharacterized. NCBI's taxonomy places the organism in Eukaryota, Metazoa, Mollusca, Bivalvia, Ostreida, Ostreidae. The transcript has 3 exons. The record is from RefSeq and is a predicted model, not a curated record.